This is a non-coding RNA of Myotis lucifugus (little brown bat), 64 nucleotides long. The record is from Rfam. NCBI's taxonomy places the organism in Eukaryota, Metazoa, Chordata, Mammalia, Chiroptera, Vespertilionidae.
GGCCUCCCUCUGUGGGGCGAUUGAUUGUGGGAUCCCCAGAUCGAUUGCCCAACAGAGGGAGGCC